This 344-nucleotide long non-coding RNA is filed under the name Capsicum annuum. Its description in RNAcentral is "long non-coding RNA (CANN_LNC020172)". Lineage: Eukaryota; Viridiplantae; Streptophyta; Magnoliopsida; Solanales; Solanaceae. The record is from RNAcentral.
UUUAAUGAAACUUCAUUAUCACAACCUAAUGGUUUCGAUGUUGGUAUCGGUAUGGAAUUAGAUAAUGAGACCCGGAAUAGGCGUUAUAAUAAUUUUGAGGAAGACUUACUAGAGGAAGAUGAUAUAGAAGAACAAUAAUUAGGUGAUACCCCUACCCCUACUAGUCCGGUUACGGAAUUACCGGAACACGGUGAAGAACUGUCCCCUUUACCGGAAUUUACUAGGGCCAAAGGUACUGAACGUACUAAAAGGUCUUUAGUUUGGAAAUUUAUGGAGCAUGAUAGGGUAAAAAGUACUGCUACUUGCAAUAAAUGCAAGAAUGUUUUUAAACAUUUGACUNNNNN